Molecule: ribosomal RNA, 588 nt
Filed under: Escherichia coli
Lineage: Bacteria; Pseudomonadati; Pseudomonadota; Gammaproteobacteria; Enterobacterales; Enterobacteriaceae
Description: partial 23S ribosomal RNA
Rfam family: Bacterial large subunit ribosomal RNA
Source: RNAcentral
UUGAUGUUCUAACGUUGGCCCCUAAUCGGGGUUGCGGACAGUGUCUGGUGGGUAGUUUGACUGGGGCGGUCUCCUCCUAAAGAGUAACGGAGGAGCACGAAGGUUGGCUAAUCCUGGUCGGACAUCAGGAGGUUAGUGCAAUGGCAUAAGCCAGCUUGACUGCGAGCGUGACGGCGCGAGCAGGUGCGAAAGCAGGUCAUAGUGAUCCGGUGGUUCUGAAUGGAAGGGCCAUCGCUCAACGGAUAAAAGGUACUCCGGGGAUAACAGGCUGAUACCGCCCAAGAGUUCAUAUCGACGGCGGUGUUUGGCACCUCGAUGUCGGCUCAUCACAUCCUGGGGCUGAAGUAGGUCCCAAGGGUAUGGCUGUUCGCCAUUUAAAGUGGUACGCGAGCUGGGUUUAGAACGUCGUGAGACAGUUCGGUCCCUAUCUGCCGUGGGCGCUGGAGAACUGAGGGGGGCUGCUCCUAGUACGAGAGGACCGGAGUGGACGCAUCACUGGUGUUCGGGUUGUCAUGCCAAUGGCACUGCCCGGUAGCUAAAUGCGGAAGAGAUAAGUGCUGAAAGCAUCUAAGCACGAAACUUGCCCCG